RNAcentral lists this long non-coding RNA (213 nucleotides) under Capsicum annuum. RNAcentral's name for it is "long non-coding RNA (CANN_LNC016350)". The record is from RNAcentral. Lineage: Eukaryota; Viridiplantae; Streptophyta; Magnoliopsida; Solanales; Solanaceae.
GAGUAUUUAACUUCAAAAUUUUGUGCUAAUAUAUGAGGAAAAAAAAUAGAUAUUCAUAGGUAAAAGGUGUUGCUUCAGAAAAAAAACAAUGGUUCGUGAAGAGAUGUUCAGAACGUUGGACCCAUUUGCGGAGCCAUACGUGUCCAUGUCCAAAUGUGGCCGCAUGUCAUUCUUUCUACAAAACAGAAAGUUGACGUUUGAUUUGCGUUGGCA